Long non-coding RNA from Oryzias latipes (Japanese medaka), 358 nucleotides. RefSeq lists it as uncharacterized. The record is from RefSeq and is a predicted model, not a curated record. Lineage: Eukaryota; Metazoa; Chordata; Actinopteri; Beloniformes; Adrianichthyidae.
CUCUCGCGAUACCGGCCUCCUCCGAUGAGGCCACAGACUGCUGCCGCCGCCUUCCGGCGGAAGAGGGAGAGUGGUGAUGUCAUCCUCGCGAGGCCUCACCUGUUCGAGCGCACACUCAAAUGAAACCUACAGAGGGCAUCUGCUUCAUUUCUGUAACUGGAGACCUGCCAGCACCAGUUACAGACUCAGGGGCUAUUCAUAGAGAAGGUGAGAGGUCAGGGUGACACCUUUUAGUUCAACUGUGGAGCCUUCACAUUUGUUGUUUGGCGUGACGAUGGCUGCUGAGGGGCUGCCGCACAGCAACACCGUUCAGUGAUCUUCAGGGACAGAAGAAAUGAAUGGAAGUGCUUCUCUUGUU